CGGGACGUGGUGUAUCGAGCACCGCUGCAUUGAAUGAUUUAAUGGCUCGGUGACUGUGCAUGCAGCAGGCCGGGGUUCGACUCCCCGCGUCCCGA
This is a non-coding RNA of Mycena rosella, 95 nucleotides long. The record is from the annotation of a GenBank genome assembly. Lineage: Eukaryota; Fungi; Basidiomycota; Agaricomycetes; Agaricales; Mycenaceae.